RNAcentral lists this ribosomal RNA (497 nucleotides) under uncultured bacterium. RNAcentral describes it as "partial 16S ribosomal RNA". It matches the Rfam family "Bacterial small subunit ribosomal RNA", at positions 28 to 507 of the family's 1533-position model. The record is from RNAcentral.
GAUGAACGCUGGCGGCGUGCCUAAUACAUGCAAGUCGAGCGAACGGACGAGAAGCUUGCUUCUCUGAUGUUAGCGGCGGACGGGUGAGUAACACGUGGAUAACCUACCUAUAAGACUGGGAUAACUUCGGGAAACCGGAGCUAAUACCGGAUAAUAUUUUGAACCGCAUGGUUCAAAAGUAAAAGACGGUCUUGCUGUCACUUAUAGAUGGAUCCACGCUGCAUUAGCUAGUUGGUAAGGUAACGGCUUACCAAGGCAACGAUGCAUAGCCGACCUGAGAGGGUGAUCGGCCACACUGGAACUGAGACACGGUCCAGACUCCUACGGGAGGCAGCAGUAGGGAAUCUUCCGCAAUGGGCGAAAGCCUGACGGAGCAACGCCGCGUGAGUGAUGAAGGUCUUCGGAUCGUAAAACUCUGUUAUUAGGGAAGAACAUAUGUGUAAGUAACUGUGCACAUCUUGACGGUACCUAAUCAGAAAGCCACGGCUAACUACGUG